This 33-nucleotide ribosomal RNA is filed under the name Oxyrrhynchium speciosum. RNAcentral's name for it is "partial 18S ribosomal RNA". Lineage: Eukaryota; Viridiplantae; Streptophyta; Bryopsida; Hypnales; Brachytheciaceae. The record is from RNAcentral.
GUUUCCGUAGGUGAACNUGCGGAAGGAUCAUUG